GUGUCCGCUUUGGCAGCACAUAUACUGAUAUUGGAACAAUACAGAGAAGAUUAGCAUGGCCCCUGCACAAGGAUGACGCGCAAAUUCAUGACACGUUCUGUUUUUUU
This 107-nucleotide small nuclear RNA is filed under the name Marmota monax (woodchuck). Lineage: Eukaryota; Metazoa; Chordata; Mammalia; Rodentia; Sciuridae. The record is from RNAcentral.